This 71-nucleotide transfer RNA is filed under the name Dasyscopelus asper (prickly lanternfish). RNAcentral describes it as "Myctophum asperum (prickly lanternfish) tRNA-Thr". It matches the Rfam family "tRNA". From Rfam's summary of the family: Transfer RNA (tRNA) molecules are approximately 80 nucleotides in length. Their secondary structure includes four short double-helical elements and three loops (D, anti-codon, and T loops). RNAcentral also lists the same sequence under 1 other name. Lineage: Eukaryota; Metazoa; Chordata; Actinopteri; Myctophiformes; Myctophidae. The record is from RNAcentral.
GCUUCUGUAGCUCAGAUCAGAGCAUCGGUUUUGUAAGCCGAAUGUCGGAAGUUAAAAUCUUCCCGGGCGCA